AAUUUUUCCAGUUAAACUUAAUGGAAUGGAUUUUUUUUUUUAAUAAUAGCUUUUCAACUAGAAACAUUUUCAGGGACAAAUAAACGCUGUUAAGCAAGAAAGAGGCUUAAUUAAUUACUUGAAACUGAGUUAAAAUUUUAAGGGGGAUUAGACUUGGUACUGAGAUGAAGAUCAGUGUAAAUGCCAAAUUGGUUUGCCCUGAAGGCAGGUUGACAUCUAUCACAUCCACUGAGAAGAGACUUAAGACCUGGACGGUGACAGGGGGCCAAGAUUUAUGUUGAGAGUGGGGGAAGGGUAGAGAGGCCAGUGAAAGAAGGAAACACCAGAGAAGAGCCAAGAGAGGGCAAAGAGAUAAUGAUUAAAAGCUGACCUGGAAAUUUAGUUUGCUGUUCCACGAGCAGACUGUAGUUUGUUGUCGGAAAGUUAAGUCCUCAGGCUUCAUUCAGUUCUAGAUUUCAGCAAAAAUAAAUAGUCCCGGCUUUCAACUGGUGGAAGAGUUAUUUUCUAAGCUCAAAAAUAUUGUUUAUGAACUACAAGCUGGGCAAUUACUUCUGCUUCACGAGACCUCUUGAACUCGAAACAACCCUUUAAGGCCGAUCCGGUGCUUGCCUCUGGGCCGGCCAGAGAACUAACAGCACAUCUUCCUCGAAAGCCACCGGGCAAAUGCCCUGGCCUUUCUCCUCCCGAGGGUCACUGCCACCCCAAAACAGUUUUUCCCAUGGCAACAGUAAAAUGGUGUGGGCGAUCCCAAGAUGGAGGAUAUGUAUCUUUGAAAGUCAAACCUCAACAAUAAAAGCAAACAAAAAACGUAGAGGAGAUACGGCAUUGUCUUGUCUCCCCCUUCUUGCCCAUUCUAGACAGCUUUAUCAGCCUGUUUAUUGACAGCACCCAAAUAAAUCAGAUUUUUUUU
This is a long non-coding RNA of Neofelis nebulosa (Clouded leopard), 910 nucleotides long. RefSeq lists it as uncharacterized. The record is from RefSeq and is a predicted model, not a curated record. NCBI's taxonomy places the organism in Eukaryota, Metazoa, Chordata, Mammalia, Carnivora, Felidae. The transcript is spliced from 2 exons.